UACCGUCUUCUUGCUCGCUGCAGCAGUAGGUACCUUGUUGGUGGUUACGUGUUGGCCCGUCGUGGGACGUUGGAUGGUGAAGCCGCAAGAGAGCCCGUUGUUGAUGGAGUACGUUAGGUAUGAGGGUCGUCAGGCUUGAUGGUUCGGGGCGCGGGGAGUGAGGAGGGAGGGAACAGGCGGCGGUGAGGGAGGGUGGAGGAGGAGGACACGGGAUCCUCGGGGCGGUGGCUGACGAUGAGGAGGUGGCGGAGCGGAGAAGGAGGAGGAGCGGAAGGGUAGCGAACAGAAGUCCGGCGUCGCCACCAAGGGCUAGACUCGGCAGAAGUCCAUGCACCUCGCUGCCUCCAGCCGAGGGAGGAAGAGGUUCCAGCGUGCUGCCCUCUCCUGAGUCGGGGCUACGAGACGGAGAGGUACACAGAGGCGUUCGGUAGCAGACUACGGCAGCAACGGGCGGUAGUAGAAAGAGCGACGGACGAACGAUCUCUCGGUACCGAAAGGAGCGACACCGACUACGAAUACGCAAGUCAAUCCCAUUCCUGCACGUAGGGGAAGGUUGUCUAGUUAAAGAGAGUAGCGAGAAGUUCGUGACUAAACAAGAAGGGAAAGAGAAGAUUAAAAGAACAACAAGUAUGUUGGCGACGAGCCAAAGAACGAAGACGGAGAAGGCAUACGUACAGGCGUGGCAAACAAGGUUCUCACCAGCGCCCGAGUAAGGCCGCCGGCCGCGUGCGUCGGCACUCCCCACCCCACCUACUCGUUCGCCGCAGCGGCGGCGACGGAGCACGGACGCCCGCUCUUCUACCGUACGUAUACAACUACAUGGUUUAUAGUUCCGUAACGAUAUCGUCGGUAACGAAAACGGAUCGACGCUAAGGUAGAACGUAACUCUCAUACUACGAGAGUCGUUAACCUUGUUAGUUGUGGAAAGUGUUCUGAGAGGAACCUGGAACCCACUCCCAAUGGUAAAACCUUCCAUUUUAUGAUUUGGAAACAUCCACGUCUUGAUUUUUAGACGAGCUCUAUUUCAACACAAGAUCGGUACAGAAAGAAGACAACUUUUCUUAUGUGGUACGAAGUAAACUAGUGAAGACCUGCUAAGAAGUCAAACUCUUUGAGUUUUAAAGUCAUCGUUCGUACGUAUACAGCCGGUUACUACGUCCCACGUACAUAAAGUAAACCAACUGUCAAGUAUCAGACCGGCUCCUCGUUCAUGGUGGCUCCGGAAGUAGCUCGAGUUCUACACUGUCCCUCUUCCUCGUCCGCAACUCAACACGUUCGUCGUCCCCGUCUAACAAAGAAAGACUAACCAACUAGAACACCGAACAACAGGGAUCUCGUCAGCGUGGGAAGGUUCUUUCUUAGAUGUGCCCGGUCCUCGAUUUCGCCCAGGAAACCCUAUUAGCUCGUGAACUUAAACUCCUUCUCCAUCACAAACCUUCCCUACUCUCUGUUCACUAGUAACGUUAAAAACACCCUUGUAACGGGUUCUACCGCUUCACGUCCUAGACGGCGGUGAUAACCUCUGUGGAACAGUUCGUGGUGCCGAUGCGUCUAGCUUCGGCGACAGUGCACGGCUUCUCAGUGGUAGCGGUCGGUAGCCAAAGAAGACGCCGUUACCGAUUAGGUCGGGUUGAAGUCCGCGCCCGGCCAGAGGCAGCUGUUCGUGGCAGAAGACGGUGUUCUUGGCGGUGGGUAAGGCUUAGGGUCGUCCUGGUGGGGGACGAUAGGUUAUGACACCUCUCGAACUUUUUAUGACAGUGAUCCCAGGUGAUGUGGUUUCUUUUCGACCUUCUCAUGUAGUUUGGUCUACCAUUGUGUGAGUUCCAGUCUGAGCGUUUGUAGUUAGACGCGUGGUUAACAGCAUAGUACGACCCUUGUCUGUUCUCUCGGUGUUAUUGGUGUUUGACCAGCCUCAAGGUGGCGGCACGUUUGUAGGUACUUCCUGCAUAGACGUGGAAGGGAAAGUUCCAAUGGCGUCUCGUGGCGAACCGAGAGUAGCAGGUACAGGAGAUC
This 2013-nucleotide ribosomal RNA is filed under the name Triticum aestivum (bread wheat). Its description in RNAcentral is "partial small subunit ribosomal RNA". The record is from RNAcentral. Lineage: Eukaryota; Viridiplantae; Streptophyta; Magnoliopsida; Poales; Poaceae.